UACAGAGGCCCCAAGCGUUACUGAGAAUCACUGGGUUUAAAGGGUGCGUAGGUGGUCCGUUAAGUCCGUUGUGAAAUCCCUGGGCUCAACCCAGGAACUGCUUCGGAUACUGGCGGACUUGAGGCUAGUAGGGGUCACUGGAACUGACGGUGGAGCGGUGAAAUGCGUAGAUAUCGUCAGGAACGCCAAUGGUGAAGACAGGUGACUGGGCUAGAUCUGACACUGAGGCACGAAAGCGUGGGGAGCGAACGGG
Molecule: ribosomal RNA, 253 nt
Filed under: uncultured bacterium
Lineage: Bacteria
Description: partial 16S ribosomal RNA
Rfam family: Bacterial small subunit ribosomal RNA
Source: RNAcentral